GACAGAGGGUGCGAACGUUGUUCGGAAUUACUGGGCGUAAAGCGCACGUAGGCGGCAGCGCAAGUCGGGCGUGAAAUCCCACGGCUCAACCGUGGAAGUGCACUCGAAACUGCGCAGCUAGAGUCCUGGAGAGGAAGGUGGAAUGCUUGGUGUAGAGGUGAAAUUCGUAGAUAUCAAGCGGAACACCGGUGGCGAAGGCGGCCUUCUGGACAGUGACUGACGCUGAGAUGCGAAAGCGUGGGGAGCAAACAGG
Molecule: ribosomal RNA, 253 nt
Filed under: uncultured bacterium
Lineage: Bacteria
Description: partial 16S ribosomal RNA
Rfam family: Bacterial small subunit ribosomal RNA
Source: RNAcentral